This 473-nucleotide long non-coding RNA is filed under the name Salmo salar (Atlantic salmon). RNAcentral describes it as "lncRNA (ENSSSAG00000115197.1)". The record is from RNAcentral. Lineage: Eukaryota; Metazoa; Chordata; Actinopteri; Salmoniformes; Salmonidae.
GUACUAACCUGUCACACACUGAAGACCUAUAGGUUCACCACUGUACUAACCUGUCACACACUGAAGACCUAUAGGUUCACCACUGUACUAACCUGUCACACACUGAAGACCUAUAGGUUCACCACUGUACUAACCUGUCACACACUGAAGGCCUAUAGGUUCACCACUGUACUAACCUGUCACACACUGAAGACCUAUAGGUUCACCACUGUACUAACCUGUCACACACUGAAGACCUAUAGGUUCACCACUGUACUAACCUGUCACACACUGAAGACCUAUAGGUUCACCACUGUACUAACCUGUCACACACUGAAGACCUAUAGGUUCACCACUGUACUAACCUGUCACACUGAAGACCUAUAGGUUCACCACUGUACUAACCUGUCACACACUGAAGACCUAUAGGUUCACCACUGUACUAACCUGUCACACACUGAAGGCCUAUAGGUUCACCACUGUACUAACCUGUC